RNAcentral lists this long non-coding RNA (209 nucleotides) under Elaeis guineensis (African oil palm). RNAcentral describes it as "long non-coding RNA (EGUI_LNC068898)". Lineage: Eukaryota; Viridiplantae; Streptophyta; Magnoliopsida; Arecales; Arecaceae. The record is from RNAcentral.
CAAUCACCAUCUCCAUGAUGAUCCUAUGAUCAGGAGCAAUUUAAGAAUCAACCAUCAAUGACAUAUGCCUCAAAUUUUUAACUUUUUGAGAAUAUAUGUCAUCAUCUUGUUAAUCUCUUGGAUGAUUCAUAGACACAUAGACAUAAAUGAUAAUAUAACUGCCCAAUAAGUACAAAAUCAUAUCCUAGAGAUAUAAAAUAUGUCAGUCA